RNAcentral lists this non-coding RNA (29 nucleotides) under Rattus norvegicus (Norway rat). Lineage: Eukaryota; Metazoa; Chordata; Mammalia; Rodentia; Muridae. The record is from RNAcentral.
UUCCCAGUGCUGAGAUGGAUUUCAAGAGC